GCUGCUCUUUGAGGCGGAGAUGUCUCGGUUUGACAGGCAAUGCCACAGCCAACAGAACGCAACCAAUGUGGAGGCUGAAGUACCAGGACCUGCAGGGAGGAAGAAGGAGACACCAGGGAUUCAGGAUGAAGCUGUGAUUUGAGGACUUUUCUGGAGCUCACUUGUGCAUGUGUUCGACUCCGGUCAGGAUCAUGAUGCCGUAGGUGAGUCCACUCUGAACCAGGAAGUGAAGAGCGUACCUGCAAAGACAGAGGAAAUGUGUAUAUGUUUUUUUCAAGAAGUAACACGAUAUUGUAUUUUCUCAUGUUGCAUAUCCAGAAUUGCUCAAAUACAUUCAGAGAUACAGUAACUGAUAAAAAUUCACUGCACCACCUCCGCGGCACAUUUUAGAUUCUUAAAGAAAAUUCAAAGAUUUUUUUUGAGUCACAUGAGUCUAAAUAAACUAGUUUGUGUUCAUGGCUUAAAGGACCAUUAGAGGAGCAUGUCCCCCAGUGUCCAUCCAAAGUAAUAGUCAAACAUCAGCUUAAAUUGUGAUAUUUCAGCUAAAUCACUUACUCUUUCACACGUUUCAUUCAAAAAAAUUGAAUGUUGUUAUUGGCAAGAAACUGCGGCCAAAAUCGUCAAAAUUACACAAACAACACAAGCGAGACAAAAAAAAAAACCCAAAACACAAACGGAUACACAAAACAAUGACUAAAGCGGAUCACAAAAUGAGAAAAAUAAGACCAAAAAUACAAGCUUGACAAAACGACAAAAACAUGAAACAAAUGACAAAACUCAGACAAAACAAACAAACAAAAAAAAACAAGACAAAAUAUAACAAAAAAUGAGACUCAAAGCGACAAAAGAACGAUGAGCAAUAUAAUGUUUGACUUUAUGAUUCAAACAAGUUGUCCAGAAAUUAUUUUAAAUUUAUACUUUUACAAAUUUACAAUCUGCAGUUAAGGUCUUCUCUGUAAUUUUUACUCUUUACAAAAUUGUCCCACGGGAUGGAUUGGACCCUCUGUGGGGCCAGUUUUGGCCCGCAAGCCACAUGUUUGACAUCCCUGCUCGAGGGCAUAGCGUACAUGUGGGUUUCAUCUUUUUUGUAAAGCAAAUAAUUCAAAUGUAACUUUGUUUUUUCAGGAUUUAUGGAAGAUAUUUUGAGUUCUCUCUUCUAUGGUUGUACUGUUUCCAUAAAGGUGCAGGACUUCAUAUCAUAAGGAAAAAUGAGCACACAGUGAGUAAAAAUGGUAAAAAUACCAGAAACUGCUUUGGGUUUAGGGAUCAGGAGUGGAAUCUGUCUCAGAAAUCCAGCAUCAUAGUCAGAGUCAAUCUUACCAUCCGAAGCAGAACAUAGCGAAGUAGAGUCCCAGUAGAGUCGCCACCACAUGUCUGAUGAACGGACUGGUUUUACUGGGGUGGAGGAAGAGACGAAACCAGAAGGCUGAGAUCAGAGCACAGAGCUGACACACCACAAAGUUCACCUGCAGACAGAAGCAGAGGGAGGAGAGAGAUUUGUAUGGGUCAGGUUGUAGGAGCAUCACGAAUGAUUUUGUUAAGAGCAGCAGCAGCACUUCAUGGCUGUUUUAGGCUGAACUCUGUUGACUCAGAAAGUCUCUGACGUCUCCACUGAUAAAAUUAGACCUUCAGAAGAUAUUUAUAGUUUGGUGAGCCAAGACCUGCCGUCCACAAGACAGAUUACAUCACACAAAAUUCAUCCAUCUACAGUCCAGAGGUGUCCGAGAGGAAAAGCUGAGCGCUCAGGAAAACCAUCAGGAAGCCCAGCGGUCGUCUCCAUCAGGACGCUUAAUCUGACUAGAAAAGCUAAUAGCUGCAUUUUCACACAGCUACUUUCCAAAGAACCUCUCAGUCGCCCAUUAAUGCACAUCAGGUUCACUGAAUUACAUUUAAGACUCAUUUCAGUUUUUUGAACUUUGCAGAGAUCUGCUGCCCCUCACACAAACAAGAAGACUGACACUUCCUGAUAGCCAUCCAUCUGUGGUAACUGCUGUAACUACAUAAAGAUAAUUAAUCAAUCACAUAUGGACAGGGUUAGGGGCCCCUGACCUUGUUAGGGUUAGAUUUUUAGUUUAAAAGUCACAAGGUUCAGUAAACAAAGACAAAUUGCAUUAUUCCAGAGAGACACAAAAUUAACAAAAACACCCAAAACGUCUACAGUGAAACCUGAAACGACCACAUUGAUAAACAAAACGACUGCAGACACAAAACAAACACAGAGAUACGGAAUAAACACAAAGAGAUGUCAAAACAACUACAAAAUACUGCAAAGAGACAAUAACGAAACACAAAUUGACAUCACAACUGACACACAAAACAACAACAGAAAUAUAUGAAACAAUCACAAACAAAACAGUCACAAAGAGGUGCAAAAUCAUCACAAAGAUGCAAAGCAACUCCAAAGUAACAAAAAGACACAAAAUGGCAACAAAAAGGUGCAAACUGAUGACAAAGACACAUAAACUAACCACUAAAAGACGCAAAGCAUCCACAGAGACAUGAAACAACCACAAAGUGACACAAAUUCAAAGAAAACAACCAUGAAGAGACACAAAACAAACACAAAGACAAACAAAAUUACCACAAAAAGACACAAAAGAGCGAUUAAAAGUCCUCAAAUAUGCAAAAUUACUAUCAAGAGAUACAAAUUGACAUCAAAGACAGAAAAAACAACAAUAGAAAGACAUGAAACAAUCACAGAGGCAGAACAGCCAAAACAUCAUCACAAAGACUGAAAAAAAACUACAAAGAAACAAAAAGACACAAAAUGGCAACAAAAAACUAACCACUAAAAGACACAAAACAUCUGGAAAGAGGCAUGAAACAACCUCAAAAUGACACAAAUUGACAACAAAAUACACAAAAUAACCAUAAAGAGACACAAAACAACAUAAAGACAACAAAGAGACACCAAACAACCACAAAGACAAGUAAAAUGACCACAAAGAGAGUCAAAACAACCACAGAGACACAAAUUGACAUCAAAGACACACAAAUCAACAAUAGAAAUAUAUCAAACAAUCACAGAAAAAACAGCCACGAAGACGGAAAAACUCAUCACAAAGAUAAAAAGCAAUUACAAAGAAAAAAAGACACAAAAUGACAACAAAGGGAUGCAAAAUGAAGACAAAGAGGCAUAAACUAACCACUAAAAGACACAAAACAUCUGGAAAGAGACAUGAAACAAACACAAAAUCAUCACACAGAUAAAAAGAAACUCCAAAGAAACAAACCAACAACAGAGACAUAAACCAAUCACUAAAAGACGCAAACCAUCCACAAAACAACAAAAUAGACAAAACAGCCACGAAGAGAGGCAAAACAACAAAAAGACAACAAAAAGACAGAAAACAACCACAAAGACAAACAAAAUUACCACAGAGAGACAAAAACAGCAGCAAAACACACAAAAUGACUACAGAGACACAAAUCAACCACAAGGAAAUGCAGCUUGACCUCAAAGAUGCAAAACAACCACAAAGAGACUCAAACAACCACAAAGAGACAUAAAACUAAAGCAAGAUCCACCAUUUUUCAACCACAUUUUGAUCACAAUACAGCAUUUCACUUCAAACAUGCGCAUUUUACUCCCGGACUUUAACUUAGUGGCUUUAUUCCAUGGUGUCCUGCAGUAAAGGAUGUGAGACGGGGCAGCUACUGUUGUUGUCCUGAAGUGUGAGUGCAGUGAGCUGCAGUCUGAGGGUCACACAGGUCACUGAGCUGAAAGAGUCAAUUAACGCUGCUGCUCAGUGGCCAACACAAGAUGGAUGAUGAGAGGGGGCUCUUCAUCACACUCAGAGUUUCUGCAGGAUAUUUACCGAGCAUUCCUGCGGCAUCUGUGCAGUAUUUAGGGAGAAUUUACAUAUUUGUUGCGUUCGGCAGCAUCUGAUCUGGCUGUAAACCGAGGCGGCGUGUCGAUCAUGAAUAAUGGACCGUGUGUAAACUGAGUGAUUACAGUCAGACGCUCGGUUGACGCUCAAAAUGUGCCUGUUGUCUUUAGAUGGAGUUCAUUAGAAACUGACGAAGGAGGAAAACUUCUACAUUUGGCUCAGACUAACCCAAACUGUUGGACUGAUCGAGUCUGAAGCUGCAGAGCUGGACUCCGCUUCCUGUCUACAUGUGUAAAACGGGUCUCAGUAGAAAAAUCAGUGACUGAAAAGUGGUGGUUGUUCAGCACCGCGUCAUGCCUGAGGUUUUCGUUCAACAAUCCCAACAUUCUCAUGGUGCAGAUGUAGACUGCAUGAAGACAGCUCCAGUGUGAGCUCAGUGUUUACCAGUAAAACCAGUCAACUGCAGCAUAAAGAGAUACAAAUUGACAUAGACACAAAAGACGCAAAAAUUUACUUCCAGAAGCAGCAGUGGAACAAACGGUGCGUGUCACCUGAUCCAGGACCUGGAUCUGGAUCAUCAGGAUUCAACCCAGUCACCAGAGGCCUGGCUGUCAGCCAAUCAGAGCGCAGCAGCGUCUACCUGUUACACGGCCGAUGGUAUCACCUGUGAGGAGGACGACGUGGUUUUACCGGAUGAAUGUUACUCUGUGUUUUUAUCUCAGGGAUGUUGAACUUUGAUGUUUGAAUUAUAUCAGAUGUUGAAGCCGUUUUUAUUGUCUUGUUUUCAUUUGUCUGACUGAACAGUUUCCACUAUGAGUGUGUGUUUUACUUGUAUUUAUGACUACAGGUGUGUUUAUCAGUCUGAUUUGAUUCCUCGAUCACUGAAUAAACUCCACAUUCAGGUUCAGUUUAUCUACUGGCUUUCCUAUUCGUUCCCAACUCCAUGGUUGUGAUUUUAGACUUGAUUGCUUUUCUUUUUUCUUCAAUCAUUAGAUGUAUUUUUUCCUGUUAAUAAAAGGAUUAUACCAUGCUUUUUUUAAAAUUAGAUUUAUCUCAAAAUAAGCAGUUAAUUUUAAAUCUACUUUGGUCUUUUGACAAUCAAUUGACAAAAUUAAUCAAAUUCUGUUUCACUAACUGAUUAAUAGUUAAACUUAAUCAUAAAAAUGUUCAAAUUUUGCUGCUUUGACGCUCUCAGAUAGAAGAUUUUGUUGGUUUUCUUCAUCUUGAAUGACUGUAAAUUGAAUAUUUUGUGGUUAGUUUGAACAACAUAAGACGUCUGAGGGCAUCACUUUGGCCUCUAGGACAUUGAAUUGUGGGUAUUUCUUAUUUAGGAUUCAGAUCAAUCAACAAUAAGAUUAUCAGCAGUCGCAGUCCCAGAUCAGAAUCCAAAAUCUAAAAAUGAAAAAGCAGAUGUUGACCACAGGAAUCCAGGCUGAAGAAUCAAACAAUAAUACCUGUAAUUAACCAUUAUUUCCAUCAUUGAUCUGUUUGUUGAUUAUUUGUUCAGUUUCCUGACUGACGUUUUACCAGAUCAACGCCUUAAAACAUCUGAUCUAUGGAAGCUUGUGUCACAUUGUUUCAUGUUCGUCUGCAGCUUCAUCAAGCAGCAAAGUCUUCUAGACUUUCUCGACUCAAGGGGGUUUGCAGAUGGCCUGAACACAGAACCUAACAGUCUGACGGGAUAAAAAGUAGCUCUAACAGCUGCAACAGGAGAAACUGCUGCCGUGGACAGAUUAUGAGGCAACGGGCCCCUGAGCCAGACUAGUAAAAGGCCCCCCACUAGUCCUACAAUACCGAAGGAGACACUGAAGAUCUACACACUAAGCUGUUGUGUCUCUUUGCAUCAGUUUUACCUCUUUCUGCUCAUUUUCUGUUGAUUUGUCUCUAUGCUGCUUCUCUUUCGGGCCUCUUUGUAGUGACUCGUCCAUUUUUUGUUGCUGUUUUGUGUCUCUUUCUAGCGGUUGUUUGAUCGACUUGCCAACAUGAACCGUUAACCGUCACUUCAGAGGCUCUGGACCAACACCCUGUGACUCUUUGGGCUCCGGCCCAACAGGCUGCUCAGUAAUCCACCCAUGACUCCUGCUGCUGCUGCUGAUUAGGAUCAAUAAUGUGGUUUAUUAUAUCAGCCACAGGGCAGAUCUUACUUCUAGUAGCACUGGACAGAGACUACUUUGGAUUUGUAAUAGAGUAUUUGUACACUCUUUACUGAUUAGAUUAUUGCAGAGGAGAUUAAUUCUUCAUUCUUUGUUGUGAUUGUUUGGAAUUAAUGCAUGUGUUCAGAUUGAUCAGUGAUCGGCUCAGCUAAUCAAAGCUAAUAUUUGAUCCUUCCAGGCAGAUAUUGAUGAGGUUUUCCUCCUGCUGGGACCAGACACGCCUCCCCCUCUUCCUCCUCCUCACAGAUGCUGAUGGAUGAAGCUCUCCUGUCAUCAACAUGUUUUUUUGGGACCAUUUGGAUGCUCAGGAUGCUCUGUAAGCCUCCAGCACACAUCCAGGUCUCCAUCUCCUCUAAACCAGCCGCACAAAGCCUGAACCAGCCCACACACACGGACCGAUCAUCGCCCAUCCGAGGCCUCCAUCCAUUUUCAACAAACCGCCGCUCAUACCCGCCCUGUUCAUUUGUCACACCGCCGUUUUUGUUCACGCUCCGGCCGCUUCAUGUCGCUUUUACCUCCCCCCUCCUCCCCCUCCGCUACCCAGAACCAAGCAGCCCGGUCCCCGCCCCGGAGCGCCGGAGACUCGGCCGCCGAGGCUCCGACGCUCGGCCCCCGGAGGUGAUUUCGGAGGAGACGUCCCGGCGGGUCUUACCUGGUCCAGCGGCAGGUUGGUGAUCUCGCUGACCGGCUGCAGCAGGCUGGAGCCGGUGCAGGCCGUGGUUGGGGCGUCGUCAUCUGCCAUGGCUCCGUGUCUGCGGCCGGGUCUGCUGCUUCUGUGUCCGGCUGCAGCAGCUCAGAGGCGGCGGCGGAGGCUCCGUGUUCCGCCGGCGGUCUGUCCGUGUGUCUGUGCGUCCUCCUCUUCUUCUUCCUGUUCCUCCUCCUCACCCCGUCUGUCUGUCUCCCCCUCCUCCCUCUGAUGCCCCCUCUUUCUCCUCCCCCACAUCCAUCUCUCUGGUCCCUCCUCCCUCUUUUAUUCUUCUCCUCCUCACAUCUCCAUCUGCUUUACUCCUCUGUUAUUCUUUUAUUCUCCUUCCUCCCCCCAAGCCUCCCCUUGCCUCCCUCCUUCUGUCUCUUCUUCAUGUCCUCCACCUUUCCUGCUUUCUCUCUUCUUUCCACUUCUUCUCAUUUCUCUCCAUUAUUUUAAUCCCUUUCUCCUAAUCCUUCUCCUCCACUUCCUCUUUUUCCCCACCAUGCUCUCACUUUUCCCUCCUCCACGCCACCACUCCUCUUCACUUUUUCUACUCCUUUUGUUUCAGUCUGUCCUUCAAGGUUCACUGGCAGCUCAAUGAAUAGCGAAAACAACCUGAUCCUGUAUUAAACCGGCUACAAACACAUUUUAAACACAACCCCAUUUGCUGCUUUGUGAUCUAAAAAUGUUUAAUAUCAGACUCCUUUCUUGAAUCCUUUUUCUGUAAAUGUGUGCAUCACAGUUUGUCAUAUUUUGUCUUUGCCACCAGAAAUGACUGUUUAUUAUCACAUAAAAUGAAGAAAAGCUGAAAAUGGUCACACCAGAGAAGCUUUAUUGUGGGGAGUUUUGGCAUUUUUGUGCCCUCCUUCAUCCAUCUCUCCUCCUCUUCUUCGUCUCAAACAGGACUCUUUUCUUUUAGCCUCUUGUUUGUUUAUUUAUUGCAUUGUUGUUUAUGUCUGUUAUACAUAUUCAUCUAUAAUUACUGCAGCUGAAUUGAUUAGCUGAUUAACUGAUUAGACGAAAGAUAUUUCAUUUUAAAUUAAAUGGUUAGGGAAAAAAAAUCCAAAACUGCAAUUGUAGCCUUAGUUUCUUUGAUAAUAAACUUUAAAUAUUGUGUUUUCUGAUGGUUUGUGGUUCCACUCUGGUUUUAGGAGGACAUUUUCACUGAUUUCUGAUGCUUUUUACCUUUAAAAACAAUUAUGAGAAGAAGUAACUGUCACACCAUCACCAGCCUGCUCCUGGGACUGCUGGAGCGUUGCACUGGGAUUACUGGUGCUGCACUGGAGUUUCUGCUGCAGAUCUCACUGUGACUUGCUGAUGGAGAUGAAGACACUGACUGCAUUUCUAAAUGACUGGUUGAGGUUGCUCAGUUUGGCCUCAGAGCUUUGCAGCUGUUACAGCCUGAACUUGUCUCUUUUCAGCUGGUAUUAAAAAAACCUGGACUGAAGGGCCUAAUUGAUCAGAAUUAUUUUUGUAACCCUUUGGAUCAAAAUUUCCAAUAAAAGUACAGGCCAUUUUCACCAUACACCUUGAGGAGCAUGUAAAAAUCA
Molecule: long non-coding RNA, 8221 nt
Organism: Acanthochromis polyacanthus (spiny chromis)
Lineage: Eukaryota; Metazoa; Chordata; Actinopteri; Pomacentridae
Exons: 2
Source: RefSeq, a predicted model, not a curated record